This 257-nucleotide ribosomal RNA is filed under the name Haemophilus influenzae. Its description in RNAcentral is "partial 16S ribosomal RNA". It matches the Rfam family "Bacterial small subunit ribosomal RNA", at positions 998 to 1255 of the family's 1533-position model. Lineage: Bacteria; Pseudomonadati; Pseudomonadota; Gammaproteobacteria; Pasteurellales; Pasteurellaceae. The record is from RNAcentral.
GCUCAGAGAUGAGCUUGUGCCUUCGGGAACUUAGAGACAGGUGCUGCAUGGCUGUCGUCAGCUCGUGUUGUGAAAUGUUGGGUUAAGUCCCGCAACGAGCGCAACCCUUAUCCUUUGUUGCCAGCGAUUUGGUCGGGAACUCAAAGGAGACUGCCAGUGAUAAACUGGAGGAAGGUGGGGAUGACGUCAAGUCAUCAUGGCCCUUACGAGUAGGGCUACACACGUGCUACAAUGGCGUAUACAGAGGGAAGCGAAGC